UGAGGAAUAUUGGUCAAUGGGCGCAAGCCUGAACCAGCCAUCCCGCGUGCAGGAAGACGGCCCUAUGGGUUGUAAACUGCUUUUCCAGGGGGAGAAUUUUUCUGUCGUGACAGGAAUUGACGGUACCCUGGGAAUAAGCAUCGGCUAACUCCGUGCCAGCAGCCGCGGUAAUACGGAGGAUGCGAGCGUUAUCCGGAUUUAUUGGGUUUAAAGGGUGCGUAGGCGGAUUGAUAAGUCGGUGGUGAAAACCUGCAGCUUAACUGUAGACUUGCCGUUGAUACUGUCAGUCUUGAGUAUGGUCAAGGUAGGCGGAAUGUGUAAUGUAGCGGUGAAAUGCUUAGAUAUUACACAGAACACCGAUUGCGAAGGCAGCUUACUGGGCCAUUACUGACGCUGAUGCACGAAAGCGUGGGGA
RNAcentral lists this ribosomal RNA (415 nucleotides) under uncultured bacterium. RNAcentral describes it as "bacterial SSU rRNA". It matches the Rfam family "Bacterial small subunit ribosomal RNA", at positions 355 to 767 of the family's 1533-position model. The record is from RNAcentral.